GGGGGAGUGGUAACACUGUCCUCCAGGAGUCAGCUGGUUUGAGGCGGAAGCAAUGUGGUCUCUGGUAAUGCAGGGCCAGGGUUAGGGUUAGGGUUAAUCAAGGUGUGAGCGAUGACGAGGUGUGGGGAAGAUAAACCUGCCACGUCUAUGUGACCUGCAUGACGUCAUCCAAGACGCAUUCUGUUAUUCCGUCGUCAAUGCCAUAAAAAGGACUGUAUGUAGUUCAUGUGGAGUGUGUGUGAGGACUGUAUGUAGUUCAUGUGGAGUGUGUGGAAGGGGACUGUAUGUAGUUCAUGUGGAGUGUGUGAGGACUGUAUGUAGUUCAUGUGGAGUGUGUGAGGACUGUAUGUAGUUCAUGUGGAGUGUGUGGAAGGACUGUGCUGUAUGUAGUUCAUGUGGAGUGUGUGUGGACUGUAUGUAGUUCAUGUGGAGUGUGUGUGAGGACUGUAUGUAGUUCAUGUGGAGAGUGUGGAAGGACUGACUGUAGUUCAUGUGGAGUGUGUGUGGACUGUAUGUAGUUCAUGUGGAGUGUGUGGAAGGGGACUGUAUGUAGUUCAUGUGGAGUGUGUGAGGACUGUAUGUAGUUCAUGUGGAGUGUGUGUGGACUGUAUGUAGUUCAUGUGGAGUGUGUGUGAGGACUGUAUGUAGUUCAUGUGGAGUGUGUGUGGACUGUAUGUAGUUCAUGUGGUGUGUGAGGACUGGGACUGUAUGUAGUUCAUGUGGUGUGUGGAGGACUGUAUGUAGUUCAUGUGGAGUGUGUGAGGACUGUAUGUAGUUCAUGUGGAGUGUGUGAGGACUGUAUGUAGUUCAUGUGGAGUGUGAGGACUGUAUGUAGUUCAUGUGGAGUGUGUGUGAGGACUGUAUGUAGUUCAUGUGGAGUGUGUGGAAGGGGAGCAGGCCUGCGUCAGAUAAGUGAGGGAGGUCUUUUUCUCCUUCAUUAGAGCGAGGAAUUGAUAACACUAGACGGUAAUUACAGUGGCACACGGACAACAAACAUAUUUUCCAGCACAAGGCAUGAGCAAGCGGGGGU
Molecule: long non-coding RNA, 1030 nt
Organism: Clupea harengus (Atlantic herring)
Lineage: Eukaryota; Metazoa; Chordata; Actinopteri; Clupeiformes; Clupeidae
Source: Ensembl